Molecule: unclassified non-coding RNA, 376 nt
Filed under: uncultured bacterium
Lineage: Bacteria
Description: contains 16S-23S intergenic spacer region
Source: RNAcentral
UCCGGUUUGGCACCGGCAGUCUCCCAUGAGUCCCCGGCAUGACCCGCUGGCAACAUGGGGUGAGGGUUGCGCUCGUUGCGGGACUUAAGCCAACACCUCACGGCACGAGCUGACGACAGCCAUGCAGCACCUGUGCUAGCCCCUUACGGACACGGGCUUUCACCCGCUUUAACUAGCAUGUCAAACCCAGGUAAGGUUCUUCGCGUUGCAUCGAAUUAAGCCACAUGCUCCGCCGCUUGUGCGGGCCCCCGUCAAUUCCUUUGAGUUUCAGCCUUGCGGCCGUACUCCCCAGGCGGGGUACUUAAUGCGUUAGCGCCGGCACCCAGGGGGUCGCUCCCCCAGGCACCUAGUACCCAUCGUUUACGGCGUGGACUAC